AUAAGGCUUUGUUUGUUGUUACGCCUAAGCAUCUUCAUACGCGAUGGAGCUGAAAACACUGAACCCUUGCCUCUCCCUCUCUCCCUCUCGCAUCCGGACCACACUGCCUCACCUGGAAGAGUAAGCGUUGCCUCAUUUGCAGGCGAUGGAUCCCAGUCCAAGAAACUAAAAGGAAAUGCGGGCGAAUGUUUCCCACUUAAUGGGGUGUUAAUUGAGUAUUCAGCGAACAUGAAAAGGAGUGGAGGAGAAAGUGCCUGGAGGGUGAAGACCAGGAUGUGGAGAGCAGGCAAGAAAGCACGUGUCCUAAGUUGCGUAGAGAGUUCAAGCAACGUGAUGACAAAAGCAGGAAUCUCACGGACUCUCACAAAGAGGAAAAGAAAGUGCACUUCCUUCCGUGUCAAAGAUGCACCUGGGCUAUUUUCAGCGCUCAUCAUGGAUCCAGCCAGAGAGUGUGGGGUGUUCUGACUGUUCACUCUGUGUGUUUACCUCUUAAAUUGACCUUGAGUUUCAUUUCUAAAAACAAUGGUGCUCAUCUGGGAUUUAUUCCAAAGAAACUUUUUUUUUUUCCUCACUCAAGUGACUUAUUAUUUGAGAAGUCCUCACUGCCUGUGGCUAAAAAAAACAGAUCAGCACUACUGGGGAAGAAAAUGCACGACCAGAGACACUUCUAAGAACCCAAGGUCCUACCAGACCACCAUCGCCCUCAUGCUUCGCUGUGCAUGCUUUUUGCAGAGGACGGCGGAUGCCCUGCGGGAAAUUACCAUCAGAGCUGGAGUGAUCAUCUCGGAGCCAGACUUUCCAGGUCAUCGCAGAAAGAAUCUCUCGCGUCAGUUAUUUGUCCUUGACAAAAUGGACUAUGAUAUUUCCCAAUGCUUUGAAAAGUUGUGUGUUGACAAAAAUAAACAAAGACUUUUUUUUUUUCUCCUCAUAUAUACAUCUGUCAAUAUUUUACAAUAUUUUGUAAGCAGCCUUGAUACCGGGCACUUUGGGGCAUCUUGAAUAUACAGAAGUUUUCCCAUGCGUACUGUACAUUCAUUAAUCAUUGCACCAGAAUCCCUUUUCUACCAAAUCAGGUUCUUCCUCCUUAAAUCUUCAACAAAGACAUUUUUUGACAAAGAUGUUUUUUGAAGGAGCGUGAGCAAACCCAAAGUGAAGUCCAGAGAGAGAAGUUCUACUUACACCGAAGUUACGACCACAACCAUUUAUGGAAUGUUCCUGUUUUUUGUUUGGUCUUUUUUUUGGGGGGGGGGUGCCCACAGCAUGUGGAAGUUCUGGGGCCAGGGAUCCAACCUGUGCCACAGUAGUGACUCGAGCCACUGCAGUGACGAAGCUAGAUCCUUAACCUGCUGAGCCACCAGGGAACUCCUGAAAUAGUCCUCUCUUAUCCCCCAAAGGCAGAGAGAGGAGAAGGGAAAGAGUGACAGAGAGAGGAAUUCAACCCACAUUCCUGAUUAUCCAGGCCCUCAGGUCUCUGAGGAAGGGUUUUCUGAAUCAGUAAUGAAGCAUCAAUUACGUUAAGUAAAGGGGCAUUAGAGACGUGAGGAAACCAUGAGUCAUUGAAAGGUCUGGGGGAUUACUAGAAGCCUUACAUUUAGCUUACGAUUUAACUGAUCUCCUUUCAUUUGGUCUUCUGGAUCAUAUUUGAUUUAGAGCUUUUUACAGUAUGAACCAUACAUAGUAUUCUUGCCGUUGACAUGCUGCUUAAUUCCCUGAAGUCUUCAUCAAAUUCCGUUUUAAUAUAUCUUUCAUCACUCUAUUAUAGUCUGUCUGGUGAUGUCAGCUUUUCUGAAGAUAAGUCUAUCCUGCUGGUAUUUUUUUUUUUUAUUCCUUCCACAGAGUUUGAACUCUAUGAUCUGUGCUCUUUUAUUUUGUAAGGUGUAAACUUUUUCCACACCAAAAGUUUUUUUCAUAAAAAAGACCUGACAUCUCUUUACAGAUGUUAAUUAAUUCCCUCACUGGGAAGUACUCCAUGUAUUUUGCAUCCUUGGGAAACGGGGACAGAGAGCGAAGUGACAUAUUGAAAUCAUGUAAAAACUCGGCGCCAGAGCUCGAAUUAUUACCCAGGAGAUAAAUUCGCACUCUUCGCUUCAGAGAGCAAUUGUAUUCUGAACUUGACACAAAUAAUGAUCAAAAAAUCAAAUCAUCAAGUAGAAGAGACCUGCCUGAGUUCCCGCCACUGACAUGCAAACCUACAGAGAAACUUACUCUUCAAGCAGGGGUAGCCGCUAAGAUGGACAGUGAAACUCGUAUUACCAAGAUUUUAUUACCGUGUGCAUACACACACACAGCAGGAUUUUUAGUAUCCUACUACGAAGUGUUAUUUGAAAUCAUUAAAACUAAACUGCACCUGUCAAAAUAAAUCAACCAAUACGUUUAGUGAUUCC
RNAcentral lists this long non-coding RNA (2384 nucleotides) under Sus scrofa (pig). RNAcentral describes it as "lncRNA (ENSSSCG00060031952.1)". Lineage: Eukaryota; Metazoa; Chordata; Mammalia; Artiodactyla; Suidae. The record is from RNAcentral.